UGUGAAGCAAAACCAAUAUAUGGUGCCAACAAUAGCUUCAUCAAUGGAGGGCAACCACAAUUCUCAAAAGCUUCACACUCUUGAUCAAGACAGUGUGAAGCAAAACCAAUUUAGGGUACCAACAAGAGCUUCAUCAAUGGAAGGUAACCAUAAUUCUCAAAAGCUUCACACAUUCUUGAUCAAGACAGUGUGAAGCAAAACCAAUUUAUGUUGCCAACAAGAGCUUCAUCAAAGAUGUUCAACCACAAUUCUCAAAAACUUCACACACUCUUGAUCAAGACAGUGUGAAGCAAAACCAAUUUAUGGUACCAAAAAGAGCUUCAUCAAAGGAGUUCAACCACAAUUCUCAAAAGCUUCACACACUCUUGACCAAGACAGUGUGAAGCAAAACCAAUUUAUGGUGCCAACAAAAGCUUCAUCAAUGAAGGGCAACUACAACUCGUAGAAAGCUUCACACACUCUUGAUCAAGACUGUUCGAAGCAAAUUCAAUUUAUAUGGUUCAUCCAAACCUUUGACUACUACAAGGUGUAGCUUGUAUCACAAUCUCUUACUCAACAGUGUGGAAGCAAAAUUUGUAUAUGUUGUCUCUCCCACAUUUUCAAAUUUCUAGUUUCCCAAAAAAAAAAUGGAAAUUGGGAAAUUCAACAAAUUUCUAGUUUUCCAAAAAAAAAAAAGGAAAUUCAACAAAGCUUCAUCAAUGGAGAACAACUACAAAUUCUCAAAAGCUUCACACUAUCUUGAUCAAGAUAGUGUGAAGCAAAAUCAAUUCAUGGUACCCAACAAAGCUUCACCACAAAAGCUUCCCCAACAAAAGCUUCAUCAAUGGAGGACAACUACAAAUUCUCAAAAGCUUCACACUAUCUUGAUCAAGAUAGUGUGAGGCAAAAUCAAUUCAUGGUACCCAACAAAAGCUUCAACUCCAAAGCUUCACCUAUAAAGCUUCAACUCCAAAGCUUCAUCUACAAAAGCUUCAACACAAAAGUUUCACCUACAAAGCUUCAACUCCAAAGCUUCACCUGCAAAGCUUCAACACAAAAGC
Molecule: long non-coding RNA, 1040 nt
Filed under: Malus domestica (apple)
Lineage: Eukaryota; Viridiplantae; Streptophyta; Magnoliopsida; Rosales; Rosaceae
Description: long non-coding RNA (MDOM_LNC010566)
Source: RNAcentral